CUCAAAUGAACCAGAAUAGCAGCAAAACGCACUCAGUUUCAAUUGACGCGUGAGCGAGUCAGCGCCAAAUAUAGGUCCUCUCUCCCUCCCUCUCUCCCCCCCCCCGGAUUGUACCAUCGCAGAAAUGAUUCCUUCACGUGUGCGAUGAAUACUUCAUUGCUGACCCAGAUAACGGCGACACGUCGGGCUCGGAGAGCGUCGCUGCGUCGCGGUGCCGCCCGCUCCUCCGCCGCGCGCUGCCGCCGCGGCGGGAGCCGUUGACGGCGCGCGCAUCGCAUCUUCCUCCGGCCGAGGACCAAAAAACUGACCGUCCCCGGGCUCGCUGGCAGGAGGGGGGGGGGGGAGAGAGGAUAAGCGCCGCGCACCGAGAGAGGGGCGAUGGAAACGGGGGAACAGGUGACCGAAUCGCAGCGCUGAGAAAUCGUCGAGGGGGUUUUCCUGCCCGGGAGUCCGACCCUGAAGACACGCGGACGGCGGCUGUCGAUGCGGUUUUCGACGGCGGCCUCGGGCCUGCUCCUUCGUCCCGUGGGACUCCCUGCCUGUCAAAGUUAGGAGGAAGUUCGAGCCUGAUAAAACGUAUUACGCCUGUCAGCCGGAGCUGCCGGGAUGACGGGCCAUCUCUCCCUGUGACAAGGAGAGGGACAUCUUCCAAAUAACAAACUGACAGCCGCCAUCCAGAGGCGCCGCGUGACUGAGGACCGCUGGCACAGACCGUCCAUCCUUCCUUCCCGGGUACAGAGACGCAAACUCGCAGCGGGUUCAUUCUGUUCUCGCUGAGCAGUCAGCCGCGCACGUUAGCAGAAGGUGUGCACGCGUUACUGGGACGGUGGGUGGAGGUAGGACUCCGACAGCUGGGUGGUGUUGGUAAAUGAAGCGGCGGCAGCAGGGGGGGCAAAGGGUCGUUACCGCGGUGCUCAGACAAACCGUGCGUUUUGCAAUUAUAACUUUCCAAUUGCUGUUGAUGAUCCAUAUUGGCUGAUUUUGAGGCUGUUUUUGUUAUUUUAUUGACCGGUAUUUAAAGGAUCAGACUACUAUUUAUCAGGAGCAUCACAAGAAUAGAUUUAGCCUCUCUAUGAUCAGCAAAGAUUCUGAAUGAUAUCUUUUCAAUUGUUAUAGUCAUAUACAAAUUUGACAGAAUACAGAAGAUGAUUUCAGUUCCUCGACAAAAACAAAUUAGACAGGAUUACAUUUCAAAAUAUAUCCUUGUUGCAUAUCUCCAUCAUUUGCAUGGGAUAUAAUUAAGCUUCUAAGACUCAAAACUUUAUUUUAUAGGAGCUUGUUACUUUUGCAAUAGACAAUAGAACAAACCCAGGGCUGUCAUGACAUAUUCUAAAUCCAAAUAUAUAUACAGUAUAUUUGAAAUGUAAGAAACAAAGAACCGUUCAGGCAACGUUGUUCGUGGGGCCGUCAAUAGAUUAAAAAAAUCACAAAUGAAUGGCACAUUUUGAAAUUCACGUAAUUAAUGGAGAGUAAAAAAAAAAACAUUCUUCUAAGGACUAAAUCUUACAAGUAAUGAGUAAUUCCUUUAGAAAGCAUGUAUUUUAGACAUUGUUGUUUAAUUGUAAAUGUUAUUUUAAACAGAAAACUACACACAUUUGAUCAUCUUGGAGGCAGAAUCCCACCGGGUGGAACAUGUGGAACCAGCGACUCUUCCUGCUGUCCUCGUGCACAUUUAACCAGGACUGUUUUCAGAUACAAAACCCUGCAAUAAUCUAUUAUCCUCUUUACUUCCAGGCCUUUAAUAGCGGAACGGAUCUAAAGCCAGAACCUCCAAUCAAAUCAGGUUCAAAUUCCAACAACCCAAAUUGAAUCGAAACACUCCUCUCGGGAACAUUCAUUAAUGUUAAUUAAUGACGGGGAUAUUUAGUUGAUGGAUUUCACUGUGCAAAUUCAUCGACCUGAGCUUUUCAAGUGUGGCGGUUUUGAAUGAGAUAUUACUUAAAGCUAUGUGUUAAAAAUAUGAUAAAAACAUGUACUAUAUUUGUUAAGGGGCGGCACUGCUGUUCCUGUGUGUACGAUAACAGAGAGCGAACGGUGGGAGACUGAGGGAAGCUUUAAAAUAUUCACUUAUGAAUUCCCGGGUGCUCAGCCGGUCCAAAAAUAAUCCAAAGCAAAGACAAAUGAGUUUCCCUGCAUCGUCCUCCCGGUCUGCCUUAACCCAACCCACGGCAAGUGUUAGCUCGCGCUGCCGUGAGCCGGCGGUCUACGGGGAUGCGCGCCGCUGCCGUUUGAUCCUCUCUUUGCUUAACUCAACAACGCUGAGCGCGUGUGCACUGCAGCAGACCGCAGGCCGGCUGCCUGGCUGCUGCGUGUCUCUACGCACAAGAGGUUUAUAGAAGCAAGGCCGCCUGCGGAACACCCCGUCCGGGCCUCCGGAUCCGCACGCGCAGGAGGUAAACGCACUCUUUGUGCUUCUCCUCAGACGCCUUUAACCCCCUCCAACUAACUCUUUCAUAGACGUGUGUGUGUGUGACUCGCAAAUGAAAAGAAAAAGCCCUACCUUUGCACAAACGCUCUCGCUCUGAAGUUAACCGUUCGAAUCUUAAAAGGGACACACACACACACACACACACACACAUGCACGCUCUGAUAAAAGCUCGGUGCAGCAAAAUAACCGUUAGGGAGUUCAUUCCAAUUCUGCUGACAGCAGAUAGGCUUCAGCGUUCUCUCUCUCUCUAUCCAGCAGUAAUUACUUAUAAGGCCACAGGGAUUAUGACGUCCCCGAGUCCCCUCUGCAAUAGAGCCGGUGCUCCAUACAGCCUCGUUCACCGAGUACGGUUCUUCUAUCACCCCCAGUCCUCAUUAAGCCGUCCCUCCCUCUCGUUAUUCCCCCCCCCUCCCUGUGUAAUAUCCUCCAUCCAUUAACUCGGCCCGGUCCUCCACCCGUCCUUUUCCCCCGUCCUCGCGCUUCCUCCUCCUUUUGCGAUCUUCUCCAGCUGCCACGCUGGAUCAGCGCUCUCUUAAUUUGACUUGUACGGCGCCGUCGGCGAGGGGGGGGAGAGGAGCCACGACGCCGGGAACAUACGAGUGCACAUACAUUGUCCUUGUGUAAGACGGCGUGUUCCUCUGCGUGUCCUCGGAUACCUCGGCCUGUGCUGUCCCCCCCCAUCCAAGGUUGGCUGUCUUUCUGUGUAGAUACAGGAAAUUCAUCUAUUUCCCGCUUGGUCACCAUGGCUCCUGAGGCGGCCGCUUGCAGAUGUGCCCACUGAGGUGUGUGUGUGUGUGUGUGUGUGUGUGUGUGUGGUGCAGAAGCCCGUUGCCCAGUAGAACCAUGAGGCGCUCGAUCUUUUCCCUGGUGCUGGGUUUACGCCACACAAUUCAAAACCUGGCCUUGAAAUGGCCGACGGCAUUCGGGAUAUCAGCUGUGAAAAGGCUCAUAUCAGAGAUCGAAUCAGCACUCGCUCCCGUGAGCUGAGAUAUGUAGCGUGAUUAAUAACCUGUCCCCAACGUCCAAAUGCGCUCCGACCGCCGGCGGCAGCAGUAACGACCGUAAAGCUCAAUAUAUAUAUUUAAGUGGCCUGAACAAUGCAAGUUACAGUAUCGUUAAAGGUAAAUGUAAGUCACUUCUGGCAGGUCACUGUGUUAGUUUUUAUUAUUACGUUCCUAUGCGACUGAUGCAUGUGAGCAAUGAUUUUGUGGAUAAAGGAGAGCCACAGACCGCACGUCUUUUAAAUGAGAAUACCAAACAUCGCCAGGGCGUCGGUCAGCGGUGACGACGUGGCGUGGUUUGUUUAAAAGGCCUGUUCAUUGGUGAAGGUUACCUAGCUGAACAGAAAGCGCAGGUAUCGUGAGCGCCUGUUUGCCUUAAAGCUGAUGUCGUGCUUUAAUCCUAAAUCCAAAGGAAAAAAUUCCGUCGGCGUGUCGUUGAGGGAACCAGCACCAACGCCAACCUCCGGCUCGUCCUCCAAAAAUACACCAAGCAGAAAUGCGCAAAGCCCUCUAUUUUCUUUCCUCUCUUCACAGCCGAGUUGCCACGGUGACGAGCUUGCCCACUUUUUACAGCAUCUGUGAGCCCAACACACACACACACACACACACACUUAAGCGCGGAUGCAAAAAGACGCGGAUCGGCACGCAAGGGCGGCGGCAGCCACUCGGGCAAGUUUACUUUUCCCUUUUUAAAUGCAGACGCGAGGGACGCCGGUCCACUGGUGAGGAUUCGUCACCGAUAACACACGGGUCGCUCCUCGCACGCACGCGUCCAACGGGGGAGAUAAGAUUAGCAAAGAGGGCAGCCGGUGGCCAACUGGCUCCUCAGCGGCCUCAGCCAACAAUCAGCCACGACUUAUUUCCGACACGCCGCUGUCUCACGGCGGCCAGCUUCGGCCGGCUAAUUUACUUCAUCAGUACCAAUGCAAGCGCAGGAACAGCUGGGCCGGCGCGUUUAGACAUUCAAAUCCGCUGUAAAAUAUGCAAAUGGUGGCUUUGGCGGCGAGCCGGGCCGCCGCAAGGCGGGAGCUGCGGGUGGUUCCCCUGCUACAUUCUGAGGCUGCUCUGUCCCCCCUGUCACAGAAUCCGCCUGCUGGUGCUGAUUUAUCAGAGAUCCUCCCACGUCCACGCUGAGUGACGUCCUUAAAGUGCUCAACGGGCCUAAACCGCUGCUUGAGUGAACCAGGUGCAUUCAAAUAAUAUUCACAUGUAUAUUAGAAUUCAGCCAGAAAGCUCCAGUGACGGACUUCUGCGUCUCCUUUUUAAUGCGAAAGGCAAAGACCUUUCCUCUUCUUUAGCGGCGAUGCUAUCAGUGUUAAAACAGGCCAAGCUGGGAACCGUCAGACAGAGCUCAGGUACAUUCUUUGGCACUCACACACACACACACACACACAUCCACAUACGUGCACACACUCGCACACGCUCGACACAUUUUGGCACGUUCCACGGUGCACCGAGGUCGGCUCCGGGCGGCUGCACAGAUGCACCGUUUGAAUACUGCAGGCUAAUCGGGCGAAUCGAUAAAUGUUGAGAGGGUGAGCCCACCCAAGCAAUGGAAACAGGUCGCCGCGCUGAGAAUAACUCCGUCUGCGCCCCAAAUCACAGGCCAACCUGUAGGACGGACUUGAAAGGGGCCCCCAAGAGGAAAGGGGGUUGUUGUGCUGCUUCGCUCGGGGUAAACGG
This is a long non-coding RNA of Gasterosteus aculeatus aculeatus (three-spined stickleback), 5112 nucleotides long. The record is from Ensembl. Lineage: Eukaryota; Metazoa; Chordata; Actinopteri; Perciformes; Gasterosteidae.